RNAcentral lists this unclassified non-coding RNA (355 nucleotides) under soil metagenome. RNAcentral describes it as "partial contains 5.8S ribosomal RNA, internal transcribed spacer 2, and large subunit ribosomal RNA". The stretch from base 1 to 120 matches the Rfam family "5.8S ribosomal RNA", at positions 35 to 154 of the family's 154-position model. The record is from RNAcentral.
GAUGAAGAACGUAGCGAAAUGCGAUAAGUAAUGUGAAUUGCAGAAUUCAGUGAAUCAUCGAAUCUUUGAACGCACAUUGCGCCCGCCAGUAUUCUGGCGGGCAUGCCUGUUCGAGCGUCAUUUCAACCACUCAGGCCCUGGUGCCUGGCGUCGGGGUUUCUUGCUUCGGUAAAAUCCCCUAGAAUCAGUGGCGGACCCGCCGCGGCUCCGAGCGUAGUAGUAAAAUAUCUCGCUAUGGAGGCCCGUGGGGGGAUUACCGGCCGUAAAACCUCUUCUUUACUGAAGAACUUCUCAAGGUUGACCUCGGAUCAGGUAGGAAUACCCGCUGAACUUAAGCAUAUCAAUAAGCGGAGGA